This 675-nucleotide ribosomal RNA is filed under the name uncultured bacterium. RNAcentral's name for it is "bacterial SSU rRNA". It matches the Rfam family "Bacterial small subunit ribosomal RNA", at positions 1 to 680 of the family's 1533-position model. The record is from RNAcentral.
UAGGGUUUGAUUAUGGCUCAGAUUGAACGCUGGCGGCAGGCCUAACACAUGCAAGUCGAGCGCGAAAACACUUCGGUGUGAGUAGAGCGGCGGACGGGUGAGUAAUGCUUGGGAAUCUGCCCAGUAGUGGGGGAUAACGUGUGGAAACGCACGCUAAUACCGCAUACGUCCUACGGGAGAAAGCAGGGGAUCUUCGGACCUUGCGCUAUUGGAUGAGCCCAAGUCAGAUUAGCUAGUUGGUGAGGUAAUGGCUCACCAAGGCGACGAUCUGUAGCUGGUCUGAGAGGAUGAUCAGCCACACUGGGACUGAGACACGGCCCAGACUCCUACGGGAGGCAGCAGUGGGGAAUAUUGCACAAAGGGCGAAAGCCUGAUGCAGCCAUGCCGCGUGUGUGAAGAAGGCUCUAGGGUUGUAAAGCACUUUCAGUGGGGAGGAAAAGUUUAAGAUUAAUACUCUUGAACCUUGACGUUACCUGCAGAAGAAGCACCGGCAAACUCCGUGCCAGCAGCCGCGGUAAUACGGAGGGUGCGAGCGUUAAUCGGAAUUACUGGGCGUAAAGCGCGCGUAGGUGGUUUGAUAAGCUAGCUGUGAAAGCCCCGGNCUCAACCUGGGAACUGCAGUUAGAACUGUCUGGCUAGAGUAUAGUAGAGGGUGGCGGAAUCUCCUGUGUAGCG